CCUACGGGUGGCUGCAGUGGGGAAUAGUGGGCAAUGGAGGAAACUCUGACCCAGCAACGCCGCGUGAAUGAUGAAGGUCUGCGGAGGGGAAAGUUCUUUGCGAAGGGAAGAAGAAAGUGACGGUACCGUAGGAAUAAGCCUCGGCUAACUACGUGCCAGCAGCCGCGGUAAUACGUAGGAGGCGAGCGUUAUCCGGAAUGACUGGGCGUAAAGGGUGCGGAGGUGGUUGGGCAAGUUAGUAGCGUACCUCCACGGCUCAACCUUGGAACUCCUACUAAAACGGUUGGACUUGAGUGCAGGAGGGGCAACUUGACUUCCUCUUGUAGCGGUU
Molecule: ribosomal RNA, 331 nt
Filed under: uncultured bacterium
Lineage: Bacteria
Description: partial 16S ribosomal RNA
Rfam family: Bacterial small subunit ribosomal RNA
Source: RNAcentral